GCCCGGGUAGCCCAACUGGCAGAGGCGUUGCGUUCAGGUCGCAAAGGAUGGGGGUUCGAAUCCCUCCCCGGGUA
This 74-nucleotide transfer RNA is filed under the name Actinoplanes utahensis. It matches the Rfam family "tRNA". From Rfam's summary of the family: Transfer RNA (tRNA) molecules are approximately 80 nucleotides in length. Their secondary structure includes four short double-helical elements and three loops (D, anti-codon, and T loops). The record is from Rfam by way of RNAcentral. Lineage: Bacteria; Bacillati; Actinomycetota; Actinomycetes; Micromonosporales; Micromonosporaceae.